GGCUCAGUGGUCUAGUGGUAUGAUUCCUGCUUCGGGUCGCGCCCUUCCAUCUAUAUAAUAUGGGAAUGCAGGAGGCCCCGGGUUCGAAUCCCGGCUGAGCCC
This 102-nucleotide transfer RNA is filed under the name Nemania serpens. RNAcentral's name for it is "tRNA-Pro". It matches the Rfam family "tRNA". Rfam says of the family: Transfer RNA (tRNA) molecules are approximately 80 nucleotides in length. Their secondary structure includes four short double-helical elements and three loops (D, anti-codon, and T loops). The record is from RNAcentral. Lineage: Eukaryota; Fungi; Ascomycota; Sordariomycetes; Xylariales; Xylariaceae.